RNAcentral lists this ribosomal RNA (253 nucleotides) under uncultured bacterium. RNAcentral describes it as "partial 16S ribosomal RNA". It matches the Rfam family "Bacterial small subunit ribosomal RNA", at positions 524 to 776 of the family's 1533-position model. The record is from RNAcentral.
UACGUAGGGGGCUAGCGUUGUCCGGAAUCAUUGGGCGUAAAGAGCGUGUAGGCGGCCCGGUAAGUCCGAUGUAGAAGUCAAAGGCUCAACCUUUGAAUGUCAGUGGAUACUGCCGGGCUAGAGUCCGGAAGAGGCGAGUGGAACUCCUGGUGUAGCGGUGGAAUGCGCAGAUAUCAGGAAGAACACCCGUGGCGAAGGCGGCUCUCUGGGACGGUACUGACGCUGAGACGCGAAAGCGUGGGGAGCGAACAGG